UGCCUUAUAGUAUAUAGCUAAUAUUACUGUAAACUGCAACUUUACCAAAGCAACAGCUAAGGCAU
Molecule: transfer RNA, 65 nt
Filed under: Uniomerus tetralasmus
Lineage: Eukaryota; Metazoa; Mollusca; Bivalvia; Unionida; Unionidae
Description: tRNA-Cys
Source: RNAcentral